MicroRNA precursor from Felis catus (domestic cat), 84 nucleotides. It matches the Rfam family "mir-142 microRNA precursor family". Lineage: Eukaryota; Metazoa; Chordata; Mammalia; Carnivora; Felidae. The record is from Rfam.
CAGUGCAGUCACCCAUAAAGUAGAAAGCACUACUAACAGCACUGGAGGGUGUAGUGUUUCCUACUUUAUGGAUGAGUGUACUGU